AGUGGGGGGAUUUCAGCAUGCAGCACCACAGCCAGUGAGAAAUAGGUUUUCAUACGAGGAUUUGGUGGUGGCACUAACGGGGAAUCAGAGCUACUGGAGGGGGUUGACUUUGAUGAGCAGGACACGUCUAAGUGUUUGGCAGCCGGGCUUAAGUUUGCUGCUGAAAGAAUAAGUGAAUGAUUCCCCAUCCCCCUCUACCAGAGAGGAUGCUGUGCGCUCCUUUUGAGGCCCGAGUUCCGUCCCUCUUUCUUGUGUCCACCUGGUCCUCUCUGAAUUCUGAUUCUUUAUCUGUGAGGCAGAGGUCCACACGUACCCCACCUCCUCCCCUGGGUUGUGUUCCAGCCAGUAGGACGCUGGGCACUCACAGCUGUUUGUUAUGUGAGCCACAUGAGUGCAGGUGACAAGGCCACACCAGACCACAGCCGACUGGUGUGACUUCAGGAAAUGGUGUCACUUCACUAAAGCUUCUACUUUUCAUCUGGAAGUGGAGAUAACCUUGCCCUUCCAAACACAUAGACAUUUGAGAGCAGGGAUGAGAGCCGUCUUAUCAAGUACUGAGAGAAAGGUUCGGCAGUACUGUUUUCUUCUCCCUUGUCUCUUGGUCAUUAGUCUAUCUCUUCUCCCCUAGAAGACCACUUCUAGGGUUCUUAUGGGUGCCACACAUGCUGUUUCUCCUGAAUGCUCCUGCCCUUCCUGGCAGCCAUUACACUCACACGUCUGUGUCCUCAUCGGAAAUGCCUUAGGACAAAGAAGCACUAGGGAAACUGAGGCCCAGGCCUGUGUGAGCAGCCUCACAUCCUGUGUCAACUUUUGCGCGAUUCCCAGAACAGCAUGUCCACUCAGAACCUGGGGCUGGCACAGCCACACAUCCUUUUCAGGAGAGCACAGCCUCGAGGCAGGAGGAACUCAGGGUGACUCAGCUUCACAUGUGACAAACAGCCUGUGAAGUAAAACAGACCAGCGCUCCGGCGCGGCUGCCUUCAGAUCCCAGGGAGGAAGGGGUGGCAUGAGAAGAAAUGGACAGCGUUGAACUCACGCCUCAUGUCGGUAAUACAUACCAAAUGCUUGCUCUGCUGCUGAGACCUUACCACAAACUCCUGAGUCUACAGUGGUCAGAGAGGUUAGGCAUUUCACCCAGGGUUACACAGGAGAUAGGAGCCAGCAGAGCAGGGAUCUGAGCAGAGGCCUCUGAUUUAGAAGCCCUUAUUCUUCCCUAACCGCGUGUCAGGAAAAAAAAAAUAUCCUUUCCCCAACCCCCACUUCCUGUGGUACUGCACAGUUCCCUGUGCAUGAUUCAAACAAAACAAAACCUGACCCAUUGAAUUUUGUUUUACUUUUCAAAGUUUAGAACGGAUAAUACCCCUAGAUCCUUUUACCAUCUGCACCCAGAUGGACAGUUCCUGUCCUCCCACCCUUGGUUUGAGACUGGCUCGUGGAUAGGAGAUGUGUGUGCAGGGGGUGCUGGGACAUGAGAGGAGACAGUACUGCCUUACAGGGCAGCGGAAAGGCUGCUAGCAGAGUCACUUCCAUGGCUCUGUCCAGCACCAAAGUCAAAGCCACAACCUAUCCUGGUUUUGGGGUCAAGGGUUGGGAACACCACUCUUAGGGAACACUCAGAGGAGAUGUGGCCUGGCAGGAAGCACAGGGCCAUGCCAAACAGGAAAGGGGAGGGCGGGGCUGUGAGGCACGGAGACGUCACCAGGAUGCAUGCCAAAGCUAGGCAGGCUUAAAUACUGGGGCAGAGCUGCCGGGCACAUGACUCUGUUGAAAAUCUCCCAGGGAAUGACUUCUAAUCCCUGCCUUAUUGAAGGGUUUGAGGAAGGCUCCAGCCUGCCGACUGCUGGUCUGGGCUGUGGGGGGAAUCCUGGGCUGGCACACUGCCACAAGGACAUUUCUCAGGGAAAGCCUUUGGCCCAAUAAGUCUGUUUUCCCUUUUCUUUGGAAACUAGGAUUUGGAAUCUGUUCAGGAAAAAUGUAACCUACAAACAAAUAGCCUUGGCCAUCUGUGCCUCCCUUGGAGCGAGGUCAAAGCCGGGGAGAGCUCAGCCUCUCUGGGCUCUAACUACAGGCCAUCCCUUUGGAGUCAGUUUCUGGCUGUCCUAAAAUAAUGUCUCCUCUCCAUGCCUCUCCCUCAGUGCUGCUUAUGCCCCAAGUCUUUGCCAGUGUUCCCAUGAUAUUAGAAUAAUAUUCCACCCCCACAGUCUGUGUAUACUUGUCUAUCAUCAUUUCUCCCUCAGAGCUUAUUUCUCAAGAGAUCAGUUGCUUCUCCUCAACAUUACUCUAGGUAAUUUCAAUAUAAAGUAUUCUUUCCUUUUUUCUGUGGGUGAGAACCCCUGAUUUUAUUUUUUAAGAAUAUAGUCAAGGUAUCUGCCAAUGCUUAAACUCUGGCUGUGAGCUAAGUGGUGUGGUGUAUCAUGCUACUCACUGCAUAGCAAAGCGUUUAGGACAGAACCUGGUGCAUAGUAAAUGCUCAACAAAUGUUGCUUAAUAUCCUUAUUAAUUACCUCAAUUUUGUCAUAGCACUCACAGCAGGUAUGAUUUGUCUUACGUGUUACGGUUACGGCGUGACAAAUCUGUGGGCUUCUUGAGGGCAGGGAUUGUGUAUUUAUUCUCUAGUGUCUCCAAAGGGAAUUCCACGGGUGUCAAUCUGGUCAUUCAAGUUGGCGAUGAAGUGCAGAGACUUAUGUCUAGAGUUCCUAAAUCAAUUUAGAGUCACUGUAGCCUAAAGAAUAGAGAAGGAGGACAAGACCACAGAAGAUCUUGGCUUUCUUCUACUUCAGCUGUCUGCUAGUGUUAUGACCUUGGAAAGAUUAAUCUUUUUUGAACCCUAAACAUCUAUUUUCCGAAUGUAGAUAAUGGUCUUGCUUGUCUUCUUUACAGAUCUUCUAUGGGCAUCCAUGAUCAUGCACAGAGGGUAGGCUGAGCUGGCCACUGUCUCACCCGUGUACUGAUUAUUCUUUUAACUCCUCUCGGAGCCCCUUGCUGUCACCACUGCUGUGAUUUAAAGAGAAAAAGGUCCCUUGUUGGCGCUUGUGUUGGAGCAAUUGGUCCCCAGCUGGUGGAGCUAUUUGGAAAGGUCAUGGAACCUUGAGGAGGCAGUCUUGUUGGAGUAGUAGUCACAGGGGUGAGCCUCGAGGGUGGGUAGCCUGGCCCCACUUCCUGUCUGUUCUCUGAAUCCUGACUGUAGAUCAGUGUGACUAUCUGCCUCAUGGUCUUGCUGCCAGGCCUUCCCUGCUGUGAUGGGCUGAGUCCCUUUUUCUACUGGGAGCCAGAAGAAACUAUUUCUUCCUUACGUUGCUGUUUCCACAGCAACUGGAAAAGUAAACGUGAUCAAACUGAGGAUCUGAGGACCCAGGUUACUUUUCGAUGCCAUGCAACCAGUGAGUAAUAAAAUCAUUUUUCUGAAGCCUGCUCUCCUAAUUUUGUUGAAUAUUUCCUCAAUUAUCUCAUAGCAUCCUUUUAGGAUGAAUGUACAUGAGGAAGAGUCAAGAUGUGAUACACCUGUACUGACCUACGAGAGGCGGCAAGUUGCCACAAGCCGGAAGACUUACAACCGUGAAAUCUGUUCUCCCAGUUCUGGAGACUAAAAGUCUGAAGUCAAGAGCUUGGCUGGAUUUGGAGUCACCUAUGUGUCUCUCUGAGAGUGUUCCCAGAGGAUGCCACUGAGGAAGGAAGACCCACCCUCCCAUGGCACCAUCCUAUGGGCUGGGGUCCUGGAACUAUGUGUAAGCACUCCUUACGCUGCUUCCUCGCACUCUCGCUGCCAUGCCUUCCCCGCCCUCGCGACCUGUAUCUUUUCUUGAACUGACCAAGAAAUCCUUUCUUCAAGUUGAUUUUGUUGGGGAUUUGGUCACGGCAACAAGAAGGGUCCCUGAAGUCACCCCCUGCAUCUUCAUCUCGUCUCUCCUCUGCGUUAGUCUCCUCUGUUUCCUCCACUUGCAAGAUGGAUUCGUGCCCUCAGGCUAGAGCCUUAACUUACAUCUGGAGUAGCUAUUUAUGUAAUAUAAUAUUCUGAGUUUUUAGGUGGAUGUAAACUUUUGAGAGAUGCUAUUUAACCGCAAGUUAAAUAAAGAUAAAUGUCUUGA
This is a long non-coding RNA of Peromyscus eremicus (cactus mouse), 4085 nucleotides long. RefSeq lists it as uncharacterized. The transcript is spliced from 3 exons. The record is from RefSeq and is a predicted model, not a curated record. Lineage: Eukaryota; Metazoa; Chordata; Mammalia; Rodentia; Cricetidae.